AGCAGUGGGGAAUAUUGGACAAUGGGGGGAAACCUGAUCCAGCCAUGCCGGGUGUGGGAAGAAGGCCUUAUGGUUGUAAAACACUUUAAGUGAGGAGGAGGCUACUUUAGUUAAUACCUAGGGAUAGUGACGUACUCGCAGAA
RNAcentral lists this ribosomal RNA (143 nucleotides) under uncultured Paenibacillus sp. RNAcentral's name for it is "partial 16S rRNA". It matches the Rfam family "Bacterial small subunit ribosomal RNA", at positions 350 to 486 of the family's 1533-position model. The record is from RNAcentral. Lineage: Bacteria; Bacillati; Bacillota; Bacilli; Caryophanales; Paenibacillaceae.